AUUGAACGCUGGCGGCAGGCUUAACACAUGCAAGUCGAGCGGGGGAAGGUAGCUUGCUACUGGACCUAGCGGCGGACGGGUGAGUAAUGCUUAGGAAUCUGCCUAUUAGUGGGGGACAACAUCUCGAGAGGGAUGCUAAUACCGCAUACGUCCUACGGGAGAAAGCAGGGGAGCUUUGGACCUUGCGCUAAUAGAUGAGCCUAAGUCGGAUUAGCUAGUUGGUGGGGUAAAGGCGUACAAAGGCGACGAUCUGUAGCGGGUUGGAGAGGAUGAUCCGCCACACGGGGACUGAGACACGGCCCAGACUCCUACGGGAGGCAGCAGUGGGGAAUAUUGGACAAUGGGGGGAACCCUGAUCCAGCCAUGCCGCGUGUGUGAAGAAGGCCUUAUGGUUGUAAAGCACUUUAAGCGAGGAGGAGGCUACUCUAGUUAAUACCUAGGGAUAGUGGACGUUACUCGCAGAAUAAGCACCGGCUAACUCUGUGCCAGCAGCCGCCGUAA
Molecule: ribosomal RNA, 501 nt
Filed under: uncultured bacterium
Lineage: Bacteria
Description: partial 16S ribosomal RNA
Rfam family: Bacterial small subunit ribosomal RNA
Source: RNAcentral